This 471-nucleotide ribosomal RNA is filed under the name uncultured Alphaproteobacteria bacterium. RNAcentral describes it as "bacterial SSU rRNA". It matches the Rfam family "Bacterial small subunit ribosomal RNA", at positions 9 to 527 of the family's 1533-position model. The record is from RNAcentral. Lineage: Bacteria; Pseudomonadati; Pseudomonadota; Alphaproteobacteria.
GAGUUUGAUCGUGGCUCAGAGCGAACGCUGGCGGCAGGCCUAAUACAUGCAAGUCGAGCGCCCCUUCGGGGGGAGCGGCGGACGGGUGAGUAACGCGUGGGAAUGUGCCCUUUGGUACGGAACAACACAGGGAAACUUGUGCUAAUACCGUAUGUGCCCUUCGGGGGAAAGAUUUAUCGCCAUUGGAGCAGCCCGCGUUGGAUUAGGUAGUUGGUGAGGUAAAGGCUCACCAAGCCUACGAUCCAUAGCUGGUCUGAGAGGAUGAUCAGCCACACUGGGACUGAGACACGGCCCAGACUCCUACGGGAGGCAGCAGUAGGGAAUCUUGCGCAAUGGGCGAAAGCCUGACGCAGCCAUGCCGCGUGAAUGAUGAAGGUCUUAGGACUGUAAAAUUCUUUCACCGGGGAAGAUAAUGACGGUACCCGGAGAAGAAGCCCCGGCUAACUUCGUGCCAGCAGCCGCCGCCGUAAG